This 433-nucleotide ribosomal RNA is filed under the name uncultured bacterium. RNAcentral's name for it is "bacterial SSU rRNA". It matches the Rfam family "Bacterial small subunit ribosomal RNA", at positions 340 to 786 of the family's 1533-position model. The record is from RNAcentral.
UACGGGAGGCAGGCAGUGGGGAAUAUUGGACAAUGGGCGAAAGCCUGAUCCAGCCAUGCCGCAUGAGUGAAGAAGGCCUUCGGGUUGUAAAGCUCUUUUAGUGAGAAAGAUAAUGACGGUACUCACAGAAGAAGUCCUGGCUAACUCCGUGCCAGCAGCCGCGGUAAUACGGAGAGGGCUAGCGUUAUUCGGAAUUAUUGGGCGUAAAGAGCGCGUAGGCUGAUUAGUAAGUUAAAAGUGAAAUCCCAAAGCUUAACUUUGGAAUUGCUUUUUAAAACUGCUAGUCUAGAGAUUGAAAGAGGAUAGAGGAAUUCCUAGUGUAGAGGUGAAAUUCGUAAAUAUUAGGAGGAACACCAGUGGCGAAGGCGUCUAUCUGGUUCAAAUCUGACGCUGAGGCGCGAAGGGCGUGGGGAGCAAACAGGGAUUAGAUACC